AAGUCGUAACAAGGUUUCCGUAGGUGAACCUGCGGAAGGAUCAUUAUCUGACUAUAGGCCCGGACCUGUCCGGGCCCUAUUGUCCCUCCCGUGCUGUUUCCCGUCUCCUGUUGCCUUAGCGGGCGCCCCUGGCCCGCUAGUGUCCUAUAAUCUAUUAUGGUGCCUGUCUGACUGUGGAACAAUUAAACAAAACCUUUAGCAACGGAUCUCUUGGCUCUG
This 219-nucleotide unclassified non-coding RNA is filed under the name air metagenome. Its description in RNAcentral is "partial contains small subunit ribosomal RNA, internal transcribed spacer 1, and 5.8S ribosomal RNA". The stretch from base 1 to 46 matches the Rfam family "Eukaryotic small subunit ribosomal RNA", at positions 1786 to 1831 of the family's 1831-position model. The record is from RNAcentral.